This 1074-nucleotide long non-coding RNA is filed under the name Ornithorhynchus anatinus (platypus). RNAcentral's name for it is "lncRNA (ENSOANG00000049455.1)". The record is from RNAcentral. Lineage: Eukaryota; Metazoa; Chordata; Mammalia; Monotremata; Ornithorhynchidae.
CUGGGGAAACCGCGAGCGCAGCAGGGGUCGGGGGAUAGGUUUCUCGGGGUCCCACGGAAGGCGGUGUAGACAAUCCUGGAAAAAAAGGGGGGCUAGAGUAGUUGGAUUCGGUCAGGAAUUUCCUCUCUAAAUAGGACGUCGAAACAGUGGUGCUCCUUCUGAUUUCCGGAAUCUCCUAGGACUUCUCAGCUCUGGGAAGCAGCUCUAUCAUUCACUGCUUUCUCUCUCUUUCCGUCACAGAACCGUCCUCCUUGGUAAGCUGGUUUUCCUGCUUCGAGACGAGCGGCAGCAAGAGGAAGACAACCGAGGCUGGCUUGCAUAGACACGCAAAGUGAAGGCGGCAAGGCGGAGACGAGGAUGAAUCAGUAGUUUCCCCAUACCCGGAACCGCUCGGGAAGUCUCAGGACCUGCUGGAGUAUGUCAACCGGUUUGCACAGUCCCUUUCUGAAGAAGACAGUUCAAGCACAGGUAAGUGCUUCGGCAGUUUCAGAGGAGCCAGCGUGUGUCUCAUACCAAACUCUCCUAUGCAUACUGCCACGGGGGCCAUGUGGGCAAUGCCUUUGAUUUCCCAAGUAUGUUGCAAGGAAAAGGGGCCCCGGGUAUUUCUGAGAUACCCCCUCUCCAUCUCUUACAGAGUUCCUUGUUUACCUGCUGCUACCUGCUACCCUGACUGUCCCCUCUGUCCCCUCACUUUCCUUCACAGUGUUCACAGUGUCCUUUGAGAUUGCGGAUUCGAAACAGCCUUGCCGGUAUAUGCCAUCUGAUUCACAUUUGGUUCAAUUUCACAGGGUCUUCCACCUCACUUGACCCGGCUUCUCCCGUCUCCAAUCUGCAACAGAGACCACCGUCUACAAGAGAGGCACUAGAGGAGGUGGAGCGAAUCAUUCAAGAGCUCAGAGCUAAAGAUGAAUCUUUACAGGCCGUCCCUUCCGAUGUAUUGGAAUAUGUCUUUGGAAACCCUGACACAACAAACGAAUCGGGUCAGCCUCCAUCAGGACGUUCCAGCUCACUUGGACCAGCUUCUCGAGCCAUAGCUUCUCAACAGAGACCAUCAGUGGCUCAAGAAGACUUGGA